AUGAGCUUCAUAGUCACCUACAUCUGCAGGCGACAGAACCUGUAACAGGUGAUUUGGAGGUAGGCCUUAGUGCCUAGAGAGAGAAGUCAUGUCACCAUCAUGGGCUGUCCAAAGGAGUCCAAAAGCUGCAUGGAGGAUGGACUUUGAUCUGUGGGACCCAGAGAUGUCUGAAUCCUGAUGGACUGAGCUUCAAACUGGCCCUACCUCUGUCUUAAAGGAGAAUCAAGUGUGGCAGGUGAGUUGGAGCUGCAAGUGAUCCAGCCUGAGAAGUCAAUAUCUGUUGCAGCUGGACAGACUGCCACUCUGCGCUGCACCCUGACCUCCAUGAUCCCCACUGGGAUGGUUAAGUGGUUCAAGAGGACAGGGCCAUGCUGGGAGUUAAUCUUCUCCUUCCAUUGGGACCACUUCCCCUGAGUAACAAAAGUUUCAGAUGCCACAAAGAGAAACAACAUGGACUUAACCAUAAGCAUCAGUAAUAUCACCCCAACAGACACAGGAUCCUACUAUUGCAUGAAGUUCCAGAAAGGAAACUCCAUGUAGAGUUCAAGUCUGGACCAGGCACCUAGGCCACCAUGAGUAUGAAUAUGGCAUGACAUCCUUCUUCCCCUGGUUAUGACAAGUCAAUAAGAAUGCCCUCCAUUGUCUAAGCAA
This is a long non-coding RNA of Canis lupus familiaris (dog), 651 nucleotides long. RefSeq lists it as uncharacterized. The record is from RefSeq and is a predicted model, not a curated record. The transcript has 3 exons. NCBI's taxonomy places the organism in Eukaryota, Metazoa, Chordata, Mammalia, Carnivora, Canidae.